GCAAACUUGGUCAUUUAGAGGAAGUAAAAGUCGUAACAAGGUCAUCGUAGGUGAACCUGCGGUGGGAUCAUUAAUGGAUUCUUACUAUAUCCUUCUUUGGGAGGGUAUGUGUGUGGUUCCUAUGGAUAUAUAUUGGCUUGGGUAGGGCGUUUUGCGCUCUGUCCUACCAAAGAGGACUUUGCUUGCCUACUACAUCAUGUGGUGGGCGGCUCUGUCCUUGUCCACAAACUCUUAUGAAUCUCUUUUCAUAACCAACCUGAUACCAAAAAUGCCUAGUUGCAUAAUAAUUCUUAUACAACUACCAAUGGCGGAUCACUUGGCUCUUGCAUCGAUGAAGAACGCAGC
This 345-nucleotide unclassified non-coding RNA is filed under the name uncultured fungus. Its description in RNAcentral is "partial contains small subunit ribosomal RNA, internal transcribed spacer 1, and 5.8S ribosomal RNA". The stretch from base 1 to 73 matches the Rfam family "Eukaryotic small subunit ribosomal RNA", at positions 1759 to 1831 of the family's 1831-position model. The record is from RNAcentral. Lineage: Eukaryota; Fungi.